RNAcentral lists this non-coding RNA (21 nucleotides) under Caenorhabditis elegans. The record is from RNAcentral. Lineage: Eukaryota; Metazoa; Nematoda; Chromadorea; Rhabditida; Rhabditidae.
UUGCAUUAUUAAAUAACCAAA